CCUACGGGUGGCAGCAGUGAGGAAUAUUGGUCAAUGGGCGUAAGCCUGAACCAGCCAAGUCGCGUGAGGGAUGAAGGUUCUAUGGAUCGUAAACCUCUUUUAUAAGGGAAUAAAGUGCGGGACGGGUCCGGUUUUCGAUUUACCUUAUGUAUAAGGAACGGCUAACUCCGUGCCAGCAGCCCCGGUAAUACGGGGGAUCCGUGCGUUAUCCGGAUUUAUUGGGUUUGAAGGGUGCGUAUGCGGCCUUUUAAGUCAGCGGUGAAAGUCUGGGGCUUAAACAUUGAAUUGCCGUUGAUACUGGGAGGCUUGAGUAUGUUUGAGGCAGGCGGAAUGCGUGGUGUAGCGGUGAAAUGCUUAGAUAUCACGCAGAACCCCGAUGGCGAAGGCAGCCUGCCAAGCCAUGACUGACGCUGAUGCACGAAAGCGUGGGGAUCAAACAGGAUUAGAUACCCGUGUAGUC
This 460-nucleotide ribosomal RNA is filed under the name uncultured bacterium. Its description in RNAcentral is "partial 16S ribosomal RNA". It matches the Rfam family "Bacterial small subunit ribosomal RNA", at positions 338 to 795 of the family's 1533-position model. The record is from RNAcentral.